GGCGAGGUAGGGGAGCGUUCUGUUGUAGGUUGAAGCAUUAACGUAAGUGGGUGUGGACGAAGCAGAAGUGAGAAUGUCGGCUUGAGUAGCGAAAACAUUGGUGAGAAUCCAAUGCCCCGAAAACCUAAGGUUUCCCCCGGAAGGCUCGUCCGCGGGGGGUGAGUCAGGACCUAAGGCGAGGUCGAAAGACGUAGUCGAUGGACAAUAGGUUAAUAUUCCUAUACCGUUUUUUAUUGGCAACGAGGGACGAAGAAGGCUAAACUUAUCCAGAUAGUGGUCACUGGUCCAAGCAUUCAAGGUUAUGAGAAAUAGUGAAAAUAUUUUGAGCUGAGAUGUGAUGGGGAGAUACUUAGUAUUGAAGUAGUUGAUGUCAUGCUUCCAAGAAAAGCUUGCACUGUCAUAAAUAGAAAACGCCUGUACCCUAAACCGACACAGGUAGGUAGGUAGAGUAUACUAAGGGGCGCGAGAUAACUCUCUCUAAGGAACUCGGCAAAAUAACCCCGUAACUUUGGGAGAAGGGGUACCCUAUGGGUUGCAAUAACAAGGUCCAAGCGACUGUUUAUCAAAAACACAGGUCUCCGCGAAGUCGAAAGACAAUGUAUGGGGGCUGACGCCUGCCCAGUGCCGGAAGGUUAAAGAAGCUGGUUAGCAGUAGCGAAGCUAGUGACUGAAGCCCCGGUGAACGGCGGCCGUAACAAUAACGGUCCUAAGGUAGCGAAAUUCCUUGUCGGGUAAGUUCCGACCCGCACGAAAGGCGUAACGAUUUGGACACUGUCUCGGAGAGGGACUCGGCGAAAUAGACUUGUCUGUGAAGAUGCGGACUACCUGCACCUGGACAGAAAGACCCUAUGAAGCUUUACUGUAACUUGAGAUUGGUUUCGGGUUUUAUUUGCGCAGAAUAGGUGGGAGGCUAUGAAAAAAUACUUGUGGGUGUUUUGGAGCCAUCAGUGAGAUACCACUCUUGUAAAACUAGAAAUCUAACUUUACACCAUUAUCUGGUUAAAAGACAGUCUCAGGCGGGCAGUUUGACUGGGGCGGUCGCCUCCUAAAAGGUAACGGAGGCGUACAAAGGUUUCCUCAAAUCGGUCAGACAUCGAUUGUAGAGCGUAAAGGCAUAUGGAAGCUUAACUGCGAGACCUACAAGUCGAGCAGAGACGAAAGUCGGUCUUAGUGAUCUGGCGGUAUUACGUGGAAAAGCCGCCACUCAACGGAUAAAAGUUACUCUAGGGAUAACAGGCUGAUCUCCCCCA
RNAcentral lists this ribosomal RNA (1250 nucleotides) under Heterosigma akashiwo. Its description in RNAcentral is "partial Bacterial large subunit ribosomal RNA". It matches the Rfam family "Bacterial large subunit ribosomal RNA", at positions 1222 to 2494 of the family's 2925-position model. The record is from RNAcentral. Lineage: Eukaryota; Raphidophyceae; Chattonellales; Chattonellaceae.